RNAcentral lists this ribosomal RNA (253 nucleotides) under uncultured bacterium. RNAcentral describes it as "partial 16S ribosomal RNA". It matches the Rfam family "Bacterial small subunit ribosomal RNA", at positions 524 to 776 of the family's 1533-position model. The record is from RNAcentral.
UACGGGGGGGGCAAGCGUUGUCCGGAAUUAUUGGGCGUAAAGGGCUCGUAGGCGGUUUGUCGCGUCGGGAGUGAAAACCUCGGGCUUAACUCGGGGCUUGCUUUCGAUACGGGCAGACUAGAGGUAUGCAGGGGAGAACGGAAUUCCUGGUGUAGCGGUGAAAUGCGCAGAUAUCAGGAGGAACACCGGUGGCGAAGGCGGUUCUCUGGGCAUGAUCUGACGCUGAGGAGCGAAAGUGUGGGGAGCGAACAGG